GGGUUGUGAGGUUAAGCGACUAAGCGUACACGGUGGAUGCCCUGGCAGUCAGAGGCGAUGAAGGACGUGCUAAUCUGCGAUAAGCGUCGGUAAGGUGAUAUGAACCGUUAUAACCGGCGAUUUCCGAAUGGGGAAACCCAGUGUGAUUCGUCACACUAUCAUUAACUGAAUCCAUAGGUUAAUGAGGCGAACCGGGGGAACUGAAACAUCUAAGUACCCCGAGGAAAAGAAAUCAACUGAGAUUCCCCCAGUAGCGGCGAGCGAACGGGGAGCAGCCCAGAGCCUGAAUCAGUGUGUGUGUUAGUGGAAGCGUCUGGAAAGGCGCGCGAUACAGGGUGACAGCCCCGUACACAAAAAUGCACAUGCUGUGAGCUCGAUGAGUAGGGCGGGACACGUGGUAUCCUGUCUGAAUAUGGGGGGACCAUCCUCCAAGGCUAAAUACUCCUGACUGACCGAUAGUGAACCAGUACCGUGAGGGAAAGGCGAAAAGAACCCCGGCGAGGGGAGUGAAAAAGAACCUGAAACCGUGUACGUACAAGCAGUGGGAGCACAGAGCAAUCUGUGUGACUGCGUACCUUUUGUAUAAUGGGUCAGCGACUUAUAUUCUGUAGCAAGGUUAACCGAAUAGGGGAGCCGAAGGGAAACCGAGUCUUAACUGGGCGUUAAGUUGCAGGGUAUAGACCCGAAACCCGGUGAUCUAGCCAUGGGCAGGUUGAAGGUUGGGUAACACUAACUGGAGGACCGAACCGACUAAUGUUGAAAAAUUAGCGGAUGACUUGUGGCUGGGGGUGAAAGGCCAAUCAAACCGGGAGAUAGCUGGUUCUCCCCGAAAGCUAUUUAGGUAGCGCCUCGUGAAUUCAUCUCCGGGGGUAGAGCACUGUUUCGGCAAGGGGGUCAUCCCGACUUACCAACCCGAUGCAAACUGCGAAUACCGGAGAAUGUUAUCACGGGAGACACACGGCGGGUGCUAACGUCCGUCGUGAAGAGGGAAACAACCCAGACCGCCAGCUAAGGUCCCAAAGUCAUGGUUAAGUGGGAAACGAUGUGGGAAGGCCCAGACAGCCAGGAUGUUGGCUUAGAAGCAGCCAUCAUUUAAAGAAAGCGUAAUAGCUCACUGGUCGAGUCGGCCUGCGCGGAAGAUGUAACGGGGCUAAACCAUGCACCGAAGCUGCGGCAGCGACGCUUAUGCGUUGUUGGGUAGGGGAGCGUUCUGUAAGCCUGUGAAGGUGUACUGUGAGGUAUGCUGGAGGUAUCAGAAGUGCGAAUGCUGACAUAAGUAACGAUAAAGCGGGUGAAAAGCCCGCUCGCCGGAAGACCAAGGGUUCCUGUCCAACGUUAAUCGGGGCAGGGUGAGUCGACCCCUAAGGCGAGGCCGAAAGGCGUAGUCGAUGGGAAACAGGUUAAUAUUCCUGUACUUGGUGUUACUGCGAAGGGGGGACGGAGAAGGCUAUGUUGGCCGGGCGACGGUUGUCCCGGUUUAAGCGUGUAGGCUGGUUUUCCAGGCAAAUCCGGAAAAUCAAGGCUGAGGCGUGAUGACGAGGCACUACGGUGCUGAAGCAACAAAUGCCCUGCUUCCAGGAAAAGCCUCUAAGCAUCAGGUAACAUCAAAUCGUACCCCAAACCGACACAGGUGGUCAGGUAGAGAAUACCAAGGCGCUUGAGAGAACUCGGGUGAAGGAACUAGGCAAAAUGGUGCCGUAACUUCGGGAGAAGGCACGCUGAUAUGUAGGUGAAGUCCCUCGCGGAUGGAGCUGAAAUCAGUCGAAGAUACCAGCUGGCUGCAACUGUUUAUUAAAAACACAGCACUGUGCAAACACGAAAGUGGACGUAUACGGUGUGACGCCUGCCCGGUGCCGGAAGGUUAAUUGAUGGGGUCAGCGCAAGCGAAGCUCUUGAUCGAAGCCCCGGUAAACGGCGGCCGUAACUAUAACGGUCCUAAGGUAGCGAAAUUCCUUGUCGGGUAAGUUCCGACCUGCACGAAUGGCGUAAUGAUGGCCAGGCUGUCUCCACCCGAGACUCAGUGAAAUUGAACUCGCUGUGAAGAUGCAGUGUACCCGCGGCAAGACGGAAAGACCCCGUGAACCUUUACUAUAGCUUGACACUGAACAUUGAGCCUUGAUG
Molecule: ribosomal RNA, 2121 nt
Filed under: Escherichia coli
Lineage: Bacteria; Pseudomonadati; Pseudomonadota; Gammaproteobacteria; Enterobacterales; Enterobacteriaceae
Description: partial 23S ribosomal RNA
Rfam family: Bacterial large subunit ribosomal RNA
Source: RNAcentral